GUGGGGAAUAUUGGACAAUGGGCGAAAGCCUGAUCAAGCCAUGCCGCGUGUGUGAAGAAGGUCUUCGGAUUGUAAAGCACUUUAAGUUGGGAGGAAGGGCAGUAAGUUAAUACCUUGCUGUUUUGACGUUACCGACAGAAUAAGCACCGGCUAACUUCGUGCCAGCAGCCGCGGUAAUACGAAGGGUGCAAGCGUUAAUCGGAAUUACUGGGCGUAAAGCGCGCGUAGGUGGUUUUGUAAGUUGGAGGUGAAAUCCCCGGGCUCAACCUGGGAACUGCCUCCAAAACUGCAUGACUAGAGUACGGUAGAGGGUAGUGGAAUUUCCUGUGUAGCGGUGAAAUGCGUAGAUAUAGGAAGGAACACCAGUGGCGAAGGCGACUACCUGGACUGAUACUGACACUGAGGUGCGAAAGCGUGGGGAGCAAACAGGAUUAGAUACCCGGGUAGUCC
RNAcentral lists this ribosomal RNA (450 nucleotides) under uncultured bacterium. RNAcentral describes it as "bacterial SSU rRNA". It matches the Rfam family "Bacterial small subunit ribosomal RNA", at positions 354 to 796 of the family's 1533-position model. The record is from RNAcentral.